Molecule: ribosomal RNA, 253 nt
Filed under: uncultured bacterium
Lineage: Bacteria
Description: partial 16S ribosomal RNA
Rfam family: Bacterial small subunit ribosomal RNA
Source: RNAcentral
UACGAAGGUGGCAAGCGUUGUUCGGAUUUACUGGGCGUACAGGGAGCGUAGGCGGUUGGGUAAGCCCUCCGUGAAAUCUCCGGGCCUAACCCGGAAAGUGCGGAGGGGACUGCUCGGCUAGAGGAUGGGAGAGGAGCGCGGAAUUCCCGGUGUAGCGGUGAAAUGCGUAGAUAUCGGAAGGAACACCUGCGGUGUAGACGGCUUACUGGACCAUAACUGACGCUGAGGCACGAAAGCGUGGGUAGCAAACAGG